Molecule: long non-coding RNA, 327 nt
Filed under: Gallus gallus (chicken)
Lineage: Eukaryota; Metazoa; Chordata; Aves; Galliformes; Phasianidae
Source: RNAcentral
UGUCGCUAUGGGGGCCCCUAUACCCCUAUUGGGGGUCCCCAUGUGCCUAUGAGGGGUUGUCAUGUUCCCAUUGGCGUCCCCGUGUCCCUAUGAGGCGUCCCUGUGUUCCUGUGGCGGGUCCCUGUGUCCCUAUUGGGGUUCUCCAUGUCCUCAUUGGGGUCCACAUGUCCCUAUGGGGGGUCCCCUGUGUUCCUAUGGGGGCCCCUAUGCCCCUAUUGGGGGUCCCCAUGUCCCUAUGGGGGGUCUGCCAUGUCCCCAUUGGGGUCCCUAUACCCCUUUUGGGGUCUCUGUGUUCCUAUUGGGGUUCCUCAUGUCCCUAUAGGGCCC